AUAGUGACCAGUUUAUUAACAGUGAUGAUCAGGUGCUAAAUAGUGACCAGUUUAUUAACAGUGAUGAUCAGGUGCUAAAUAGUGACCAGUUUAUUAACAGUGAUGAUCAGGUGCUAAAUAGUGACCAGUUGAUCAGGGUCAGGUGCUAAAUAGUGACCAGUUUAUUAACAGUGAUGAUCAGGUGUUAAAUAGUGACCAGUUUAUUAACAGUGAUGAUCAGGUGCUAAAUAGUGACCAGUUUAUUAACAGUGAUGAUCAGGUGCUAAAUAGUGACCAGUUUAUUAACAGUGAUGAUCAGGUGCUAAAUAGUGACCAG
Oncorhynchus keta (chum salmon) is the source of this 316-nucleotide long non-coding RNA. RefSeq lists it as uncharacterized. NCBI's taxonomy places the organism in Eukaryota, Metazoa, Chordata, Actinopteri, Salmoniformes, Salmonidae. The record is from RefSeq and is a predicted model, not a curated record. The transcript is spliced from 3 exons.